AGGACAGAACAAAAUGGAGAUGGAUGAACCGCUGUGGUGACCCCUAAUCGGGAGAAGCCGAAAGAAGAAGAAGACUUGUGACAUUGGAGU
This is a long non-coding RNA of Sinocyclocheilus grahami, 90 nucleotides long. RefSeq lists it as uncharacterized. The transcript is spliced from 3 exons. NCBI's taxonomy places the organism in Eukaryota, Metazoa, Chordata, Actinopteri, Cypriniformes, Cyprinidae. The record is from RefSeq and is a predicted model, not a curated record.